Molecule: ribosomal RNA, 492 nt
Filed under: uncultured bacterium
Lineage: Bacteria
Description: partial 16S ribosomal RNA
Rfam family: Bacterial small subunit ribosomal RNA
Source: RNAcentral
AGUGAACGCUGGCGGUAGGCCUAACACAUGCAAGUCGAACGGCAGCACAGUAAGAGCUUGCUCUUACGGGUGGCGAGUGGCGGACGGGUGAGGAAUACAUCGGAAUCUACUUUUUCGUGGGGGAUAACGUAGGGAAACUUACGCUAAUACCGCAUACGACCUACGGGUGAAAGCAGGGGAUCUUCGGACCUUGCGCGAUUGAAUGAGCCGAUGUCGGAUUAGCUAGUUGGCGGGGUAAAGGCCCACCAAGGCGACGAUCCGUAGCUGGUCUGAGAGGAUGAUCAGCCACACCGGAACUGAGACACGGUCCAGACUCCUACGGGAGGCAGCAGUGGGGAGUAUUGGACAAUGGGCGCAAGCCUGAUCCAGCCAUACCGCGUGGGUGAAGAAGGCCUUCGGGUUGUAAAGCCCUUUUGUUGGGAAAGAAAAGCAGCAGGUUAAUACCCCGCUGUUCUGACGGUACCCAAAGAAUAAGCACCGGCUAACUUCGUG